This 254-nucleotide ribosomal RNA is filed under the name uncultured bacterium. RNAcentral's name for it is "partial 16S ribosomal RNA". It matches the Rfam family "Bacterial small subunit ribosomal RNA", at positions 524 to 776 of the family's 1533-position model. The record is from RNAcentral.
UACGUAGGGUCCAAGCGUUAUCCGGAAUUACUGGGCGUAAAGAGUUGCGUAGGUGGCAAAGUAAGUCAGUAGUGAAAUGAUACGGCUCAACCGUAUGCCCAUUACUGAAACUGCUUAGCUAGAGAAUGAGAGAGGUUAUUGGAAUUCCCUGUGUAGGAGUGAAAUCCGUAGAUAUAGGGAGGAACACCGAUGGCGUAGGCAGAUAACUGGCUCAUUUCUGACACUAAGGCACGAAAGCGUGGGGAGCAAACGGG